CAGUAGCCACGGUAAUACGUAGGUGGCAAGCGUUGUCCGGAAUUAUUGGGCGUAAAGCGCGCGCAGGCGGUUUCUUAAGUCUGAUGUGAAAGCCCCCGGCUUAACCGGGGAGGGUCAUUGGAAACUGGGAAACUUGAGUGCAGAAGAGGAGAGUGGAAUUCCACGUGUAGCGGUGAAAUGCGUAGAGAUGUGGAGGAACACCAGUGGCGAAGGCGACUCUCUGGUCUGUAACUGACGCUGAGGAGCGAAAGCGUGGGGAGCGAACAGGAUUAGAUACCCCCGUAGUCCCUGUCUCUUAUAC
RNAcentral lists this ribosomal RNA (301 nucleotides) under uncultured bacterium. RNAcentral's name for it is "partial 16S ribosomal RNA". It matches the Rfam family "Bacterial small subunit ribosomal RNA", at positions 509 to 807 of the family's 1533-position model. The record is from RNAcentral.